This 433-nucleotide ribosomal RNA is filed under the name uncultured bacterium. Its description in RNAcentral is "bacterial SSU rRNA". It matches the Rfam family "Bacterial small subunit ribosomal RNA", at positions 958 to 1392 of the family's 1533-position model. The record is from RNAcentral.
AACGCGAAGAACCUUACCUGGGCUUGACAUGUGAGUGACCGCCGUGGAAACACGGCUUCCCUUCGGGGCACUUUCACAGGUGGUGCAUGGCUGUCGUCAGCUCGUGUCGUGAGAUGUUGGGUUAAGUCCCGCAACGAGCGCAACCCCCGUCGCAUGUUGCCAGCAUUUAGUUGGGGACUCAUGCGAGACUGCCGGUGACAAACCGGAGGAAGGUGGGGAUGACGUCAAGUCCUCAUGCCCCUUAUGUCCAGGGCUACACACGUGCUACAUUGGCGCGUACAGAGGGCUGCGAUACCGCGAGGUGGAGCGAAUCCCUUAAAGCGCGUCUCGGUUCGGAUUGCAGGCUGAAACUCGCCUGCAUGAAGGCGGAGUUGCUAGUAAUCGCGGAUCAGCAUCGCCGCGGUGAAUACGUUCCCGGGUCUUGUACACACCG